ACGGAUCCCAAAUCCCUGGAAGUGUCCAAGGCCAGGUUGGAGCAAUCUGGGAUUGAGGAAGUCGCCCCUGCCCAUCCAACCCAAACCAUUCCAUGAUUCCAGGAGAAUUCUGGAGCUGUCCAAGGUCCUUCCCUGUGGAUCUGCUUCCCCCAUCCAGCACAGCAGCAUCCCUGGGGAAUGUCUGGUGGGAAUGUCGGAUUUUCCAUCUGGAAACUCCACUGGAACCCGGCCAUGGCCAAAACGGGAUCGUCAAAUCCAACGGACACCGGAAUUCCCAACGUAGGAUGGACCAACAGCUCCUCCACGCCCAUCCAGGAUGGAAUUCCCGCUCCUCUGGAUCCCAGAUUUCUGUUCCAGGUGCCACCAUCGAGCUCCACAUGCUCCUCCAUCCUUCAGUUUGGCUCAACCAAAAAUUGACGGAUUUUUCUUGGAAUUUUUCGCUUCCAAGAUCUUCCCAAUCCAUCGGAGCCAUGGCUUGGUUUCCAUCCAUCGUUUUCCCGUUUCCCGUCAGUGUUAAUUAUCCGCAUCCAAACGAGCUCCAGGCCUCCUCCCAUCCAUCUCCAACGAGGUUUGGAGUUGAUGGAUGGGGGAAUCCAUCCCAAAAAUUCCGACCAAAACGGGAUCGUCAAACCCAACGGACACCGGAAUUCCCAAAGUGGGAUGGACCAACAGCUCCUCCACGCCCAUCCAGCAUGGAAUUCCCGCUCCUCUGGAUCCUGGAUUUCUGUUCCAGGUGCCACCAUCAAGCUCCACGUGCUCCUCCAUCCUUCAGUUUGGCUCAUCCGAAAAUUGACGGAUUUUUCCUGGAAUUCUUCAGAGUUGUCAUUUCCAAGAUCUUCCCAAUCCAUCGGAGCCAGGGCUUGGUUUCCAUCCAUCGUUUUUCCUUUUCCCCAUCCAAACGAGCUCCAGGCCUCCUCCCAUCCAUCGCCAACGAGGUUUGGAGUUGAUGGAUGAGCGAAUCCCAAAAAUUCCAGCUGGGGGGGGGGACCUGGGCAGGUCAAUAUUUAACCAGGAAUUCCGAUUUUCCCGGCUUUCCUGAGGGCAGGGAUGCGACAGAGCGCGGCCUCCACCCAUGGCCAGAUGUUUUUUCCAAGGUUUUUAAGGCCAAUCCUUAUGGAUUUUGCUCGGUCAACAGAUUUCUUGGAUUAAAGGAGGAAUUUU
This 1161-nucleotide long non-coding RNA is filed under the name Zonotrichia albicollis (white-throated sparrow). RNAcentral's name for it is "lncRNA (ENSZALG00000001205.1)". The record is from RNAcentral. Lineage: Eukaryota; Metazoa; Chordata; Aves; Passeriformes; Passerellidae.